Molecule: transfer RNA, 41 nt
Filed under: Veronica oltensis
Lineage: Eukaryota; Viridiplantae; Streptophyta; Magnoliopsida; Lamiales; Plantaginaceae
Description: partial tRNA-Leu
Source: RNAcentral
AUUCUUUUAUAUUUAUAUUGGGACGUAAAUAACUUUCUUUU